CUUAUCUCCGAAUCGAACGCCACCGCACAGGCGAGCGUUACAGACGUCGUCUGUGGAGGCGGAUCGGGACUAUGUGAGGUGCCAAUACAUGAAUAGUAUUCUAUACCCUCGCUCCAACUGACCGUACACCAAGGAUACGGCAUAGUAGAAAGUGGAAGACGUUUCCCAGUAGUCCUCACCACAGCCUGACAGUUACUAGGAAGAAAGACUUGACACAUCUAGAGUCGAAUCAAACUGAGAACCGCAUUGGCAGCUGCUGGUCUGAUGCAACAGCCAGCGUGAAUGUUGCUUUUAGGUAUUAUUAUACCUUUGUCCAGGCAAUUUCGUGCUGCGCCUCAGUAGGAAAACAACAGAAAAAAACCGAAACGCACGUAAGCUUACGUCGUUCACAUGCAGAUGGCGUAUAGGGCUUUCCUCCUAGGCGUUUGUGGCUGCAUGACGGGCAUCUGUCGAGAGAAUUACAAUGAAACCACUUUCCCUUUGGUGGCUAGGUUAUUUCCCGUCGGUAGCAGGCACUAUCACAGGAAAUACAAAACACUAAAGCAAAAGGAUGGGAUCACUCUGAAGGUUAGGUUCCUUCAGAAGAAUGGAAAUUUUAUUUAGCAGCGCAUGAAUGAUCUGUAUUACCGGCUAUAAAAAAAAUGCUGAGGUACUAAAAAUAUAUCCAUAAUUUUAAUAAUCGCUGACCCUCUUUUCUGUACAUGGAUUACGUAAUUUCAGCGUCCGUCAAACUCAACAUUACACAGUAGCUGGACUCCUCGUACAUGUGUACUUGAUAAAAAUGCAGCUGUUAUAAUUAUUUACGCACGGAGAGUAGAAAACUAAAACGAACUUGGCCUCAUGGAACGUCGGGUUGAUGUGGGAACACGGUGCAGACAACUAUUGCUAUCGUUGCUGACGUAAUCACGCUGAGGUAUCGCGCUGUCGCCACCAACCUUGCGUCAGCGAAGGUCUUUGCAAAAAGAAUAGUCGUAAACACGACCGCCUUCACCCACAACGCUUGCGCUCAAGUUACUUUAGCAGCUUGUUCUCGGACUAACCGAGUGAGAAGGCGGCCAACGGCUGGCUCCUUACCUGUGCCGAAGGUCUCCUUGUUGAGGUGCUUCCAGCCGAGAGAGACCUUGGUUUCCAUGGCAGCGGCGGCGGCAGCGGCAGGGGACGCCUCGCAACGAAGAGCGGCGCUGGCAAAGUCUGCGGCAGCGAAUGGUGGUGGUGGUGGCGGCGCGACCUCGGCUAACCUACGCCGCCGACUCUAUCAAGCGGGCAUGCCGCGGCCAGGCGCCGACCUCCGCCACACACAGAGCGCAGCACGCGCUCGACACAUAUCUGCCCACUGGCCGGCACACAACUGCUCUCCUCACAAAUCACAAUCUUUCCCAAUUUACCGCCGUCCCUGUCGCGAAGCUCACGCUUCAGCUCCGACACACGCGCACAUACUCAGCUAAUAGCUCCACACCUCCUUACACUCAGCCGCCACUGUGGAGAGUCGGAGGGUACAACUACUUCCAUAAGUUCAAUUCACCAAUUGAGCGUGAGAAAGUGGUACCAGUCUUUAGUUACUUUCAUUGUCGCUACAGGAAAACAACGUGACAUAAGAAGCUGAAGAACUUUUUCUUUGGGACUUUUUUAAACUAUUAACUGGUAUUUCAUCUACAGGUCACGAGAAGUGGCAUCAUUACCGGUUUCGAUCUUAUUACCAAGUCGUCGUUAGAUGAAGAGUGGAAAUGUCAACACUAUAAGUGCCAUUUCUCCAUAAAACGCGUUUUCAAAUUUGUUGCGAUUUCCGUACUCUGUAGCACGUCCCUAGACUCGUUCCAAGUUCCAAAUCAUGGAGAAAAUGUUGCGAACAUUUGUCACUAGAUGGCGCAUGGUCCUUGUACGGAACAGUGCUUCCCUCUGGAGUUCGAAGUAUCAAUAUCCUCCAAUUCCAUGCACAGUUUGUGUGGUAAUCAGAGUGCAUGUAAACUGUUGUUUGUAUCAGUAUAACAUCUUUGUAAUGGAAAGACAUACUUUGGGUUUCAAAAAUAGUAAAAAAAAAGUUAGAGAACGAACACAAAACAGCGUGUGUCUGGAAAAUGUUACGAAAGCCAUUUCUUCCUUAGAAGUGCAGGAAGUUCAGCAGUAAACUUGACAUCUCACCUCAAGCUGGCAGUGUGUAAGAAACAUACAUCAAUACUGAAAGUUUUUUUUCCUCAUAUUUAUUUUUCGCACUUCCUUGAAAAAAAAAUGUAAAAAUGUGAAAAAAUUUUUUUUUGUAACUAGAGUUCUACUAGUUAAAACAUUACUGCUCUAUCCCUGUACUUGUAUUAUCACAAAUAAAACUUUGGUGCUUCAUUAUUAAUGGCA
Long non-coding RNA from Schistocerca gregaria, 2346 nucleotides. RefSeq lists it as uncharacterized. The transcript is spliced from 2 exons. NCBI's taxonomy places the organism in Eukaryota, Metazoa, Arthropoda, Insecta, Orthoptera, Acrididae. The record is from RefSeq and is a predicted model, not a curated record.